Long non-coding RNA from Spodoptera litura, 276 nucleotides. RefSeq lists it as uncharacterized. The record is from RefSeq and is a predicted model, not a curated record. NCBI's taxonomy places the organism in Eukaryota, Metazoa, Arthropoda, Insecta, Lepidoptera, Noctuidae.
CAUUGGUGCAUCAAAGUUAUCAGUUCUAUCUGGAAAUUAUCACAAUGAAACUCUUUGCCUUCAUCACUUUGUUCGUGUGCGCCAUGUUGGCUCUGGUCAGCGGUGGUGACGUGCACUACAGACAGGUGCGCAGCCCAGUGCCAGUCGAGGACGCAGCGCCAGCACCGGCACCUGACCAUUACGGAUAUGGUCAUGGACGCUAAAAAAUAAACAAACUUGUUGCUUUUUAAAUUGGACUUUUGUUUUGCGAUUAUUAAAAUGUAGUUUGGCAGUUUA